RNAcentral lists this ribosomal RNA (505 nucleotides) under uncultured bacterium. RNAcentral's name for it is "partial 16S ribosomal RNA". It matches the Rfam family "Bacterial small subunit ribosomal RNA", at positions 28 to 507 of the family's 1533-position model. The record is from RNAcentral.
GACGAACGCUGGCGGCGUGCCUAAUACAUGCAAGUAGAACGCACAGUUUAUACCGUAGCUUGCUACACCAUAGACUGUGAGUUGCGAACGGGUGAGUAACGCGUAGGUAACCUGCCUGGUAGCGGGGGAUAACUAUUGGAAACGAUAGCUAAUACCGCAUAAUAUUGAUUAUUGCAUGAUAAUUGAUUGAAAGAUGCUAUUGCAUCACUACCAGAUGGACCUUCGUUGUAUUAGCUAGUAGGUGAGGUAACGGCUCACCUAGGCGACGAUACAUAGCCGACCUGAGAGGGUGAUCGGCCACACUGGGACUGAGACACGGCCCAGACUCCUACGGGAGGCAGCAGUAGGGAAUCUUCGGCAAUGGACGAAAGUCUGACCGAGCAACGCCGCGUGAGUGAAGAAGGUUUUCGGAUCGUAAAGCUCUGUUGUAAGAGAAGAACGGGUGUGAGAGUGGAAAGUUCACACUGUGACGGUAUCUUACCAGAAAGGGACGGCUAACUACGUG